Long non-coding RNA from Pseudophryne corroboree (corroboree frog), 226 nucleotides. RefSeq lists it as uncharacterized. The record is from RefSeq and is a predicted model, not a curated record. The transcript has 3 exons. Lineage: Eukaryota; Metazoa; Chordata; Amphibia; Anura; Myobatrachidae.
AGAGUCCUUCGAAUGGCGUUUCUGGGACCGGUCACCGAAGCCCCACGCAGGUCCUGCGCCCCCGGACCAGUCCUCCGAAUGGCAUUCCUGGGACCGGUCACUGAAGCCCCACGCAGGUCCUGCGCCCCCAGUACCAGAGUUCUACCCAAUGGCUUUCAUGGGACCGGUCACCGAAGCACUGCGGCCUGCGGAAUAGAGAAAUGCGGAGUCGUUAGACGGGCGCUCA